AGAUUCGGUUAUGUUAUCAAGAACAAGGGCUAGUGCACUUAUUCAUUACUGGGUCACAGAGCACACAUUAAUGAUGAUAAAAAUGUAUAAUAAUAUACCAUAUAGGGGGACUGUUCCCCUAUACUCUCAUUAAUUACUGGAAGAAAGGCCCCUAUCUGUGAGAAUUCACCUGUAAAUGAUAUUAAAAGCCGGGGCAUUACCAGAUCCUUACUGGCAUCGGAGUCCCUUCAAGUUUCUUAAAAAGCUCAGAGCACAUCCGCUUCCACCACCGUAUCCACGAGGGACUCCAUCGGGUAGACCAGAAUGGUGGACAAAUUUUUCGAGUUAAUCCACUUCUUUGGCAUUAGCUGAUCCAUAUUGUAUUGUUUCAUAUUAUUUACAAUAAGCAAGCAAUCCAUGCCCUACAAAACCCCAGAUGUCAAAUUCGAUGUUGUGUGAGAAUACUGGAAAAAUAUGAGUAUAGUCCGGAACGUGCGGAGUAAAACACAAAAAAAAAAAUUUUUUAAAUUCUAAAUUUGCUUUCGGUUUGCGGUACAUCGAACACAGUGCGACUGAUAUCACCACAUGUUACACGGCUCGACAAUCGUCUGGGCAGUACACUACGUUUCCCGGGGAGUGACAUGGAUGCCACAAGAUAUGAAAAGACAUAGUUGCACAUUUUUGGUCGAUGAAUGAAGAAGCGCAUGAAGUCAUUGCAUUAGUUACUCUACAUUUAUUUUGAUACUAAAAAUGAUUAUAUUUUGAUACUAAAAAUGAUUAUAUUUUGAUACUAGAAUACACAAA
Drosophila miranda is the source of this 783-nucleotide long non-coding RNA. RefSeq lists it as uncharacterized. NCBI's taxonomy places the organism in Eukaryota, Metazoa, Arthropoda, Insecta, Diptera, Drosophilidae. The record is from RefSeq and is a predicted model, not a curated record. The transcript has 3 exons.